RNAcentral lists this ribosomal RNA (94 nucleotides) under uncultured archaeon. Its description in RNAcentral is "partial 16S ribosomal RNA". The record is from RNAcentral.
CUCCCUCGUUGCUGACCCCAGGUUCGAUAGUACCAAUUAGGCAUCAUCUCGCCAAGAACCAACUUCGAUGAAGCGACGGGCGGUGUGUGCAAGG